RNAcentral lists this long non-coding RNA (1921 nucleotides) under Homo sapiens (human). Its description in RNAcentral is "HSALNT0385266". The record is from RNAcentral. Lineage: Eukaryota; Metazoa; Chordata; Mammalia; Primates; Hominidae.
CGUGAGGGGGCAGCAGGGCAUGAAGUAGAAAGAAAUGAUGGCGAAGACAAUCCGGGCAUAACCUUGGAACGGGACGCGGGGAGACAGGGCAGGAUCAGGGAGCCCGCCAAGGCCCCUCGCCCUCUCGUUCGGCCCGGGGCCGUGGGCAGCACUCACCGAUGAGGUUGGGCACGAACAGGAAGAUAUUUUCGUCUGGCAUCGCGGCGCCUCCCUUGCUGCCCCGGGCCUGCUCUGGAGAUGCCAGUGCUGUCCCAGCCCCGCAGCGCGGCCUCAGCCUCCGGCCCGGCGCAUCGGCCGCACCACCUGCGCCCUGGACCCCGCCGCCCCAACCUGGCCCCAGAUGCUGAAGCCCGCAGCCGUCGGGAGCAUGGACCGGCCCCGAGGUGCGCGGGACGCAGGGGGCGCGCGCAGUCCGCCCUUCCUACCCGCAACCUCCCUCGCCUCUGCCAGCCCCGCAGGCGCUCCGGGCCUCCAGCUGCGGUCGCCGCUGCUCCAGCUGCGCGUGGCUUCCGGGAACCUCCUCCUCCGCGCCCGUCGUUGCAAAAUUGGAGAGAGGAAAAAGUGGCUUAAAAAAAUAGUUGCGGCCCCUUUAAGGCCUGUCGGCUUCCUUUCCCUUUUCCUCCCUCCGCCCCUCUCCCUUGGCUCGUACCAAAGCGCAGAGGAGGAGAGGGAGGAAGGAACCAUUAACGUCAAGCAAAGUUAGAAACGGAAAAGGAAAGGGUAAAAGAGAAGACCGAAUAAAAAUCUCUGCUUUCCUUUUGUGGAGGGUAUGACUUCCUGGAGGCAAAGAUAAGGCGAUAAAAUUCCUCCUCCUGAGUCUUUGCGUCCCCAAGAGGCCAGGAGAUUUGGUGCAGUCCUCACUUUACUCCCCGCCCCCUAAGUCUCCAGCCGCCUUUGCUCUCGCAGGCUCUAGGCGGCUAGAGAGGCUCCAGAGCGCCCUGCAGAUGGGUUGCUUUUCGCGUGCCCCUUGUGAUGGGAGGAUUAGGUCGCAGGCUCCACCCUACGUCAUCCUCCCAAGCUUCUCAAGCGUCUGGCGCUUGGGGUCACUGCCCUCAAGGAGGCACCUGGAGGGGUACGGAGGGGAGGCUGGAGGAGCAAACGGGGCGCGCUAGGAAAUUCCUCUGUCUUUAGUUCUAGAACCCCUGAUCUCCUAGCAACGAGGCUGCGGAACCUCUGCAGACUCCAAGGGUUUUAUAGCGUCCGGUAGCGACACGGAGCCGGCUCCCCCUUUUCCAGCCUUCCUCCCCAUCUCCCAUUCUCCAUCCCCCACGACCUAUACCAGAGGUCCUUAGGCCUCCACGUCUCUCCUUUUGCCGAGUAGCCCAAGGUUUCCACCCAUCUGCCAGGGGGAUGGCGUCCACUCCGAUGGGGAAUGAGGGGGAGAAGAAGAGCAGCUGGCCAUCUCAAGCUGCACCCUCCUUGAGAGGAGGUCCGGCUUCGUUAUCUCGUUCUGAGGAAUACCUGUCCCAGAUCAGUGCAGAACUCAUGGAGGAGGCUUUGUGCACUGCUUGCUGCCACUUGAACCCUGUGCCCAUCAAAAAAAAGCAGUCACAAGACCAAGCGACUCAGAUAUCCAAACGCGCAUUCUUCACCAAGACCUGAGGCACAGACACCUGCCCUCUCCCCUCUCUUCCACCAUCUCCUGCUCGGACAGAAACCGUACCUGCAGCAAGGCAUACCUCCUGCCAACUCCUGGUGAAAAGAACAUGCCUCAAAACUACUCUUUUGCCACUCGUUAACCACUUCCGUUUGUGGGGACCUCCUGGUCAUGAGCAGCAUCAUCCCGAAGCCUUCAAAGUGUUCUGGAUUCAUCACAGGACCCUCCAGCCUCAGCCAGCAAGGAUACCACCAGGAAUGAAAGUGCUUUAAUAAAGAGACAGGGUGUGCAUUGCUCAUGUGUGGUUUCUCUGGGGUAGAGAAG